Molecule: transfer-messenger RNA, 361 nt
Filed under: Achromatium sp. WMS3
Lineage: Bacteria; Pseudomonadati; Pseudomonadota; Gammaproteobacteria; Thiotrichales; Thiotrichaceae
Also listed under: 1 other name
Rfam family: transfer-messenger RNA
About the family: Bacterial tmRNA, also known as 10Sa RNA or SsrA, is named for its dual tRNA and mRNA-like properties. Its role is to liberate the mRNA from a stalled ribosome.
Source: Rfam by way of RNAcentral
GGGGGCGACCUGGCUUCGACGUGGGUCGCAAAACCUAAGGUGCAUGUCGAGGGGCAGAAAGCCUCGUUAAUCCAACUGCAAACUAUAUAGUUGCCAACGACGACAACUACGCUCUAGCUGCUUAAUUCGCGGCUAGCCUUCGACCAGUCCUAAUUCUGUGGGGAUUGGAUUUCGGGGGUAAAUAAACAUAGAAUCGCAGUGGUAGUGGUUCCAACGAAACUGUUAAAUUUUUAGGAACUCGUUGAUUUAUUGCCCUGUCCGUCGGGUAAGAAUCAAUUAAAGUUUAAUAGGCGUGAAUAUACAUGUAGAGCCAAAGGCAGAGGGCUUGCGGACGCGGGUUCGAUUCCCGCCGCCUCCACCA